RNAcentral lists this ribosomal RNA (253 nucleotides) under uncultured bacterium. RNAcentral's name for it is "partial 16S ribosomal RNA". It matches the Rfam family "Bacterial small subunit ribosomal RNA", at positions 524 to 776 of the family's 1533-position model. The record is from RNAcentral.
UACAGGGGGGGCAAGCGUUGUUCGGAAUUACUGGGCGUAAAGGGCUCGUAGGCGGCCAACUAAGUCCGACGUGAAAUCCCAAAGCUUAACUUUGGAACUGCGUCGGAUACUGGAUGGCUUGAAUUCGGGAGAGGGAUGCAGAAUUCCAGGUGUAGCGGUGAAAUGCGUAGAUAUCUGGAGGAAUACCGGUGGCGAAGGCGGCAUCCUGGACCGACAUUGACGCUGAGGAACGAAAGCGUGGGGAGCGAACAGG